Bombus terrestris (buff-tailed bumblebee) is the source of this 2147-nucleotide long non-coding RNA. RefSeq lists it as uncharacterized. The record is from RefSeq and is a predicted model, not a curated record. The transcript is spliced from 3 exons. Lineage: Eukaryota; Metazoa; Arthropoda; Insecta; Hymenoptera; Apidae.
AACGUAUUGUAACGUAUUGGCGGCAUCGGUUUUUUAUUACUGCAGUAAUUUAAUCCAAUUAAAUAAUCACACGUGAAACUAAUAAAAUUUUAUCAAACAAUUUUGUUCACGACAUUAGAGUUCUUGUUCGCCGAAUGUAAUUUUAGCGGUCGCAGUAAUGUGAUCUUGUCUUACGUUCUUUUGAAUAUUCGUUUUCGGUAUUAGAGUCAGUGCAUCUUUCAAGAGGACAAAGCUUCUGCAGGAGUUCAAGAAUACAUAUCACUGCUUCAACUUCUUCAUCUUCUUUAGGAAUGUUCUAACAGUGGUUCACAAGCCAAAUGUAUUAGUGUUAUUCCAUUUCUACUAUUGUGAUACACCAUUUCUACUAUUGGCCUUUCAACGGUUCCUGUCUGAUGUUAGUCUUUCGGAUGAUAUUUGCUGGGAUAGCGCAGCAUCCACGGUAACGUCCCCUGUUUCUCUGCUUCGAACGGUGAGUCGCAUGCAUUUCUGUUCCUCCAGCCACUCGAUCAUGUCGUAGGACGAAAGGUCCGAAUCGGCACGGGUGACUGGUAUACUAUACUACCUUUAGUAUCUUUUAUACUACCUGUGAGUAGUAACGUUCUUUUUUCAAAUUUUUUAGUUUAGGAUAGGUCUUCUUGCACAGCGCGAUUAUGAUAAUUAAUUUUUUAAUAAUUAUGUUAAACAUAUACACUUGAGAAUAUAUUCGUGUUAUUUAUAAAUAUGCAUGUUAAUAUUCCGUAUGAAUAUUUGCAAAUGGCAAUAUCUACACGAAUAUACCUGUAUGACAUAAAUAUACUUUGUCGCUAUGCUCGCUUUGAAAAGGAUGGACGUAACGGGUUAAACGUAACGCACGAAAAACAAGUCUGUGUAGCACGGCUGAUCGGCCCUGACCGUUGGGAGCAUGCUAUUCCGCUUCAUAUCCGGUCAGUACCAUCAGCAUUGAUGCCUCCAAACUGGAUUUAUAUGCCAAGGGUUUUGGAUGGCGGCCAAAUUGGCUGCACCUGAUUCCGAUCGACGUACUUCGGGCAUUACGCUAUCUUAUGUGGCACUGGGGCUGGUCUCGUGUUACCUUGGACGACCAAAUUUGACCGUUUGAUUUUUUGAGAUCCGUGUAAUUCGAAUCAUCGUCAAAUUAUUGCAAAAUAGAGAUUGUAAGAGAAUAGUGAAAGUAAUACGAGACUUCGUUGGGCCAUUUAUGAAAUGUUAUUAUAACUGGUAAACGCCUGAUAAACAGGAAAUCGUUUAAAACGGGCCAGGCGCCGAUUCUCUUUUUACGGAUCUUUCCACGGAUAGUAAAUGCGUAACACGUUCGUUUAUACGUUUAAGCGAUCGAUCAGCGUAAUUUUUUGAGAUCCAUAAUUAAAUGGAGGCAAACGUUUACGUUGCUGCGAUAAUUAACAGCCGAUUCGUUGAUCCUUGAGAAAGCUGUAGCAAGUAGCAGCAUUAACUCCAAUGUCAAUCCAUGGGAUACUUGGUGAUGUUACGCUGCUAGUAGCUUGUUGCGCGUUUAUAAUGCUUGACGCGAUAUCCUACGUAGGAUCGUAUGCGUAAUAUAAUUAAUUAAGCGCAAGUUACCGAAACUUUUUAGACGUAAGUGGUACUCGAAAGCUUAUUGUCCUCUCCGAAUCGACGUGCUCGAAAUCUACGAGCGAAAUCAUUAGGGGAAUUGCAUAGAAUUGUUAAUCUCUGUAGUAGGAAACAGAUAUAAUACAUGUUUGAUUGGUAAGAUCGAUCGGUAAGAUGGGGAUGUUUAAUUUGAAGUGAUGUUAUAUUUCCUUAAGUGAAAAGGGUUUUUAUUCGUUUAAUAGAUAGAUAUUUUUUGUUUUUUUUUUUUGUUGGGGAUAUAUUUAUAUUUAAAAAUUUCGAGAUUUUAUUUAAUCGUAUUAUAGUAAAAAUAUACAAAAGAAAAUAUGGAAGAUAUAUGAAAUUUCCCCUUUUCAGUUUUCAAGUAUUUGUAUACACCGAAGUUUUUAUUUCGAUAAAUAUUUAUUUAUAUCUCGAUGCCACCAUACUUCAAUGCGAGUAUAAAUAUAGAAAAAAAUUGUAGUGGAGAAUGUAGUGGUUCGGUAGAGGAUCAAUAAUUUAUAAUGCGAGAAAUUGCUGCUGCCUGCAACCCGUUAUAUAUAUAAGGUUCAAUAAUGGGAUAA